Molecule: ribosomal RNA, 492 nt
Filed under: uncultured bacterium
Lineage: Bacteria
Description: partial 16S ribosomal RNA
Rfam family: Bacterial small subunit ribosomal RNA
Source: RNAcentral
AGUGAACGCUGGCGGUAGGCCUAACACAUGCCAGUCGAACGGCAGCACAGUAAGAGCUUGCUCUUACGGGUGGCGAGUGGCGGACGGGUGAGGAAUACAUCGGAAUCUACUUUUUCGUGGGGGAUAACGUAGGGAAACUUACGCUAAUACCGCAUAAGACCUACGGGUGAAAGCAGGGGAUCUUCGGACCUUGCGCGAUUGAAUGAGCCGAUGUCGGAUUAGCUAGUUGGCGGGGUAAAGGCCCACCAAGGCGACGAUCCGUAGCUGGUCUGAGAGGAUGAUCAGCCACACUGGAACUGAGACACGGUCCAGACUCCUACGGGAGGCAGCAGUGGGGAAUAUUGGACAAUGGGCGCAAGCCUGAUCCAGCCAUACCGCGUGGGUGAAGAAGGCCUUCGGGUUGUAAAGCCCUUUUGUUGGGAAAGAAAAGCAGCAGGUUAAUACCCCGCUGUUCUGACGGUACCCAAAGAAUAAGCACCGGCUAACUUCGUG